UACAGAGGGCUCAAGCGUUGUUCGGAUUCAUUGGGCGUAAAGGGUGCGUAGGCGGCGCGGUAAGUCGGGUGUGAAAUCCCGGAGCUUAACUCCGGAACUGCAUUCGAUACUGCCGUGCUUGAGGACUGGAGAGGAGACUGGAAUUUACGGUGUAGCGGUGAAAUGCGUAGAUAUCGGAAGGAAGACCAGUGGCGAAGGCGGGUCUCUGGACAGUUCCUGACGCUGAGGCACGAAGGUCAGGGGAGCAAACGGG
Molecule: ribosomal RNA, 253 nt
Filed under: uncultured bacterium
Lineage: Bacteria
Description: partial 16S ribosomal RNA
Rfam family: Bacterial small subunit ribosomal RNA
Source: RNAcentral